RNAcentral lists this ribosomal RNA (505 nucleotides) under uncultured soil bacterium. RNAcentral describes it as "bacterial SSU rRNA". It matches the Rfam family "Bacterial small subunit ribosomal RNA", at positions 30 to 543 of the family's 1533-position model. The record is from RNAcentral.
AGAACGAACGCUGGCGGCAUGCCUAAUACAUGCAAGUCGAACGAACUCUUCGGAGUUAGUGGCGCACGGGUGCGUAACGCGUGGGAAUCUGCCCCUUGGUUCGGAAUAACAGUUGGAAACGACUGCUAAUACCGGAUGAUGACGAAAGUCCAAAGAUUUAUCGCCAAGGGAUGAGCCCGCGUAGGAUUAGCUAGUUGGUGAGGUAAAGGCUCACCAAGGCAACGAUCCUUAGCUGGUCUGAGAGGAUGAUCAGCCACACUGGGACUGAGACACGGCCCAGACUCCUACGGGAGGCAGCAGUAGGGAAUAUUGGACAAUGGGCGAAAGCCUGAUCCAGCAAUGCCGCGUGAGUGAUGAAGGCCUUAGGUUGUAAAGCUUCUUUUACCCGAGAUGAUAAUGACAGUAUCGGGAGAAUAACGCCCCGGCUAACCGUCCGCGCCAGCACGCCCGCGGUAACUCGUAGACGGUCCGGGACGUCGGGACGAAACGGGUCCGACGAACGUUA